AAACUUUACAGUGCGGGAAACCGUGAUAAGGGGACACCGAGUGCCAGCGUCAUACGCUGGCUGUCCAGGUGUGUAAAAUACACCUGAUAGCAAGGGCCGGGCAAGACCGGUGCCAGCCGCCGCGGUAACACCGGCGGCCCGAGUGGUAAUCGUGAUUAUUGGGUCUAAAGGGUCCGUAGCCUGUUUGGUCAGUCCUCCGGGAAAUCUGACAGCUUAACUGUUAGGCUUUCGGCGGAUACUGCCAGACUUGGAACCGGGAGAGGUAAGAGGUACUACAGGGGUAGGAGUGAAAUCUUGUAAUCCCUGUGGGACCACCUGUGGCGAAGGCGUCUUACCAGAACGGGUUCGACGGUGAGGGACGAAAGCUGGGGGCACGAACCGG
RNAcentral lists this ribosomal RNA (382 nucleotides) under uncultured archaeon. RNAcentral's name for it is "bacterial SSU rRNA". It matches the Rfam family "Archaeal small subunit ribosomal RNA", at positions 345 to 727 of the family's 1478-position model. The record is from RNAcentral.